This is a long non-coding RNA of Gymnodraco acuticeps, 595 nucleotides long. RefSeq lists it as uncharacterized. The record is from RefSeq and is a predicted model, not a curated record. The transcript has 3 exons. NCBI's taxonomy places the organism in Eukaryota, Metazoa, Chordata, Actinopteri, Perciformes, Bathydraconidae.
GGACUGACAAUGAGCACCUGUUUACAGGAAAGAGCUUCACAGCCAAGAAGGCCUGGGGAGAGGUUCUGCAGAAGAUGGAGUUGGAGGAGUUGCUCACUCCCACCCAACUGGCAAAAAAGUGGGACAACCUGAAAAGAAAAUAUAAGGAGCUGAAAACCCCCCUACAGGGACAGGGACAGAUGCGGUGGAGGCCACGGCAGCCACAUGGUCGUGGUUUUCCCUGAUGCAUGAAGCCAUUGGGAGUCGGCCAUCCAUGGAGCCUCCAGUCCUGAUGGACUCGGCUGACGUGGCCCCCAGUGGGAUUGGCUCUUCAUCCAGUGGAGCUGGGGCUGCUCCUUGUGGCCAGGCAAUGGAGGAAGAGGAGGAUCCUGGGCAGCCUGGCACAAGUAGCAGCACCACUACACUGGAUGAAGAGCCAUCCACCUCUCUCAGUCCCCCGCCUGCCAAGAAGAAGAGGGCAAGUAGGGGGGCCCUAUUAGAGUUUCUGAAAGAGGAGGCCCAACGAGAGCAGGAACGCUUUGAGGCCAAUCAGGCUAACACAAAAAGAUUUUUGGAUUUAUUUGAGAAAUUGGUAAAUAAAGGAUUUUGUUUCUAA